CGUAACCUGCUGAGCCACAAUGGGAACUCCCUUGUUUUUAUUUUUGGUAAUGUCUGAACCUUCUAUAACCUGCUGGUUUAUAUUAAAUCUAGUGGCAAAAGUUAUUACAAACACAGUAGCCUACAUUUUUGAAUCCUCACAAGUUGAAGUGGCAUUCGAGACACCUGCCCUCGAUGAGUUUCCGUGGGCAUCAGGGCUGCUUUCAGUGCACGAGGGGCACUGUCACAACUGCUCUGGUCCUUGGGCCAUGGUGAGUUCCCUGUGUUCACAGCACAGCAAGCCAGGCUUGGAGCAGGGGCCUGGCACCAACGAAGAGUUAAAUUCGGUGGAGAAAGAGGCUCCCCGCUGGGGGUGGCAGCUGCACUGCAGGACUUCUCCCUUUGCAGCCCAUUCUGAGGGACCCCUGGGGCCAUGGUGCUGGGACCCAAGGGUGCCACAAGCUCGGGGGCUGAGGUGCAGGGGGCGGCAAGCCCAGGAGCCAGCGGGGUUAAUAAAUACAACGCCGGCUGAUCGUGUCCCCUGCUGCUAAGCCUAAAUUAACCAUGCUGGUGAGGUGGGGUUUGCUGUGGCAAGCCCCAGGCCCCCUCCUGGGCUCUGAGGAGGGGAAGAGGGGGUGGGGGAGACCCAGCCCCCAGGACCCACCACCCCCAGGCCUUCCCCCCCAGCGGGGGCCAGCGGAAAAGGUGCUGCAGGAAGAGGACGGUUUCCUUUGGGGGUGGGUGGGGGGUCUUUCUGUUUUCUCUCCCAAACAGGAAGCGGGCCCCAGAAGAGGCUGAAGUGCUGCCCUUUGACCCUUGGGAGCCGGGAGCCAGGCACUCACUGACAGCAGCCCCCAGAGCCGCCCCCAGGCCUCCGGGCGGGCCUGCCACUCCCAGACACAGAGCAGACCGUCUGGGUCUGGCCCGGCGGGCUCCCCCAGACUCUGCGGCACCUCCGGUGAGAUAGUGCUGAGCAGAGGGGCCCAUUACAGCUCUUGUCUGGGGGCAGGGCUGCUGCUGAGAACCUCAGGGAGGAGAGAAUCUGGCCUCCCACUUGGAACAGACAAAGGAAACCCAAAGUCUUGGGAGGGAAACACAGCUGCGGACCCAGAACUGGAAGGGUCUCUGGUCCUGGAACUCACACUGCCUCCUUGCACACAGCCCUUCUGUCCGCUGGUGGCGGUGGCGGCGUCUGUCAACAGAAGCAUCUGCUCCAGCUCACAGGAUGCCUUAAAAGCUAUACUGAGAAUGCAUUGCUAAGAUGCUCCCGGAGACCGGGAAUCCUUCCAGCAGCCAGCACAGCGCCCUAGGCCUCCUGAGGGAAGGAAGGAUGGACGAAUGGAUGGAUGGAUGAGAUGUAGAAGGCUGAAGCCAGAACCACCCCCCAUCCCCGACCCCCAACUCCAGACUCCAGCUUCACUGCAGUAUCUGCAGGACCAGUCCCAGACGUCUUUCUGCUGGUCAGCCAAGGAGUCUCCCAGGUACUGAAAGUGGCAGCAGCCCAGAGGUAGCAGUGCCAGGGCGUCUUCUCACAAGCCUGGAGCCAGUGAGAAGCUGGAGAACCUGCUGGGCCAGCCACUGCCCCACGCAGCCCCUUCUCCCCCUCCAGCAUGAGGCUGGGGGGCCUGGAGUCUGUUCUCUGAAGGCUUGGCCUUCCCUUGCUCUCCAACCAAGUUCAUUUGGCCACAUCCAGGCAGCCCCUAGGGAUCCCCGCCUUGUAUUCUAUGCCCACACUCCCACACCCUAGUGUCCCCCCACACCCUAGUGCCCCCCCCAUACCCUAGCCCUCCAGACAAGCUUGGCUUCCAGAUCUAGCUGCUUUCUGAUUGGCUGUGUGUCUUCUGGCAACCUCCUGUCCCUCUCUGGGCUUUCCUUAUUUGUAAAAUGGGGACACUAGCAAUUGGGUUCUCUAAACACAAGAUGACUUCA
Long non-coding RNA from Phacochoerus africanus (Common warthog), 1907 nucleotides. RefSeq lists it as uncharacterized. The record is from RefSeq and is a predicted model, not a curated record. NCBI's taxonomy places the organism in Eukaryota, Metazoa, Chordata, Mammalia, Artiodactyla, Suidae. The transcript has 2 exons.